Cricetulus griseus (Chinese hamster) is the source of this 2113-nucleotide non-coding RNA. The record is from RefSeq and is a predicted model, not a curated record. Lineage: Eukaryota; Metazoa; Chordata; Mammalia; Rodentia; Cricetidae.
GCUACAAAUCCGGGGAUAAGACUGGGGGGAUUGGAUCUCUCAAGCAGUAGGAGAGGUGCAGAUUUGCCUUCAGCCUAUUUCUUUCCCUGGCAGGAGUGGCCAUUGGCUUAGCAGGUGAUACCUGGUUACAGUUCAAAAUAUCUUUGAAGGAGACAAUAGUCAGUCUACUAUAAAUCAAGAUUAAAGUUGGUGUUUGAAAGUACUAUGUGAUGUAAGAGACCAGAACCUAGCAUAAUUGUCAUCAGAGACGCUUCAUCCAGAAACUGGUGGGAACAGAUGCAGAGACCCACAGCCAACAAUUAGGCUGAGUUUGGAGAGUCCUGUGAAAGAAGGGGAGAAAGGAUUAUAGGAACCAUAGCAGUAGAGGAUGCCAGGAGAACACACCCUGCACAAUCAACUAAGCAGGGCUCAAGGGGGCUCACAGAGACUGAAGGGGCAAUCACAGAGCCUGCAUUGGUCUGUGCUAAGCCUUCUGCAUAUAUGUUUUGGUGGUGUAGCUUGGUAUUAUUGUGGAACUCCUAACAGUGGAAGUGGGGUGUCUCUGACUCUUUUGCCUGCUCUUGGAACCCUUUUCCUCCUACUAGGUUGCCUCAUCCAGCCUUGAUAUGAGGGUUUGUGCCUGGUCUUAUUGCAAAUUGUUAUGUCAUGUUCAGUUGAUAUUCCUGGGAAGACCUGCUCUUUUCUGAAGGGAAACAGAGAGGAAGUGGAUCUGGGAAAGAGGUGGUGGGGUGCUGGGAGGAGAGGAGGGAUGUACUGUAUGAGAGAAGAGUAAAAAAAUAAUAAUAAGAGAUCAGAUCUCUUUCUUCAACCAUACAACCUCAAAUUCAUUUCUAUGAGUUGUGUUCCUCAUUAUUAUUACAAAAUACCCGAACUUAAUGAAAGGUUUGUCUUGGUGCAUAGUCUAUGGUGGAAGCAGGAUUCUGAGGAGGCAGCAGGUCACAUCAUAUUCACAGUCUGGAAGCAGAGAAUGCUGUCAUGACAAGGUAGGUCUUUCCAGCUCAGUCAGCCUAAUCUAGAUAACCCCAAACAGACAGCCCAGAGGCUGACCUAAUCAGCUAGAUAUCCCCUCAAAGACACCCCAAAGGUUUGUCUCCUAGGUGAUGGUAGAUCCUGUACAUUCAUAAUAUUAACCACUUAAUGUACAGAUACAAUUCAUUAUUUCAAAUUCAACAGAUGAUUGUGUGUUGUUCAGAAUCCCUUCCUUUACAUCUCCCUGGGAACCCCAUGUGGAAGAAACAUAUGGCAGAGAGCUUGGGUGACAUCACAAGGCACGUGGGACAGGAAGAUGCAGAGCCAAGACUUUGUUUCUGUUCUUGUUGGUCUCUAUUGUUGGUUUCCAAUGAUGAGAACAGCUUUUUAACUGGUAAAGUUGGCAGGGCCUCAUGCUGACAGUGAGCUACAUCUAGCUUUAAGGAAUGCAUUUGUUUUCUUUUUCUAGAAGUACUUUUUGGAAGGUUAGAAUCCAUUUCUGUCAUAGUACUUCACAAGAAUCAAUUAUGAGUAUUUAAAAUUGUAUUUUAUUGUUUGUAAGAAGCAUUUUAAUAAACGCACUCUCAAGUGUGACAUAAUGCUGAUGAAAGACAUCAACAGCUCUCAGUUCUGCUUCUGAGUCAGCCAUGUGCUCACCUGGGGCAUCCCAUUAAUCAUCAUUAUGCCAUAGUCUGAGCUAUCAUAUUGCUUAAUUACCAUUUCUGUUACCUAUCCAUCUACUCUGCUAAUCGACACAAAAUAAAUUCAUCAAAUCCUGAGGCACUGAAGCAACAGUCUCCCUUGCCUUGCCAGAAUUGAACCCAAAAGCAGCUUAUCCGUAAAAUAUGAAGAGACACCAAGCUCUUGGAGCUCUUGGAAUAUUAAACUUAGCAAAUGCUGUCUACAAGAAAUCAUGUCUUCCUUUCUUCUUGGCUGACUUUAACCUUAUCCAUCUUUCAAGUCUCAGCUAAAUCCCUGAAUAUUCUGUGAAUUACCUUUUAAUUAUGGCCCUUAUUGCCAACAUCAUAAUCUAUAUCAAUUAUUAUAUUCUGCUCUUAUAGUUUUAUACUGAAUAUAUGGAUAUUAAUUCAGCUAUGCUAUAAAUUUCCCUAGGACAUUUCAUGUUUAGUGGCCUUUAAUAACU